CGAAAUGCGAUAAGUAAUGUGAAUUGCAGAAUUCAGUGAAUCAUCGAAUCUUUGAACGCACAUUGCGCCCGGGAGCAUUCUCCCGGGCAUGCCUGUUCGAGCGUCAUUUCAACCCUCGACCUCCCCUUGGGGAGGCCGGCCGUUGGAGAUCGGCAGCGAUUGCCGGCUCCCAAAUUCAGUGGCGACCCGCCGCGGGGACCCCUGCGCAGUAACAUACACUCGCACCGGAAACCAGACGUGUCACGCCGUAAAACCCCAACUUUCUGAACGUUGACCUCGGAUCAGGUAGGAAUACCCGCUGAACUUAAGC
This 310-nucleotide unclassified non-coding RNA is filed under the name plant metagenome. Its description in RNAcentral is "partial contains 5.8S ribosomal RNA, internal transcribed spacer 2, and large subunit ribosomal RNA". The stretch from base 1 to 106 matches the Rfam family "5.8S ribosomal RNA", at positions 49 to 154 of the family's 154-position model. The record is from RNAcentral.